GACGAACGCUGGCGGUGUGCUUAACACAUGCAAGUCGAACGGAGAGGCCCUGCUAUCGUGGGGUGCCCGAGUGGCGAACGCGUGAGUAACACGUGAGUAACCUGCUCUACACUUUGGGAUAACUUCAGGAAACUGGGGCUAAUAUCGGAUAGGAGCUCCCGCUGCAUUGUAGGCGUUGGAACUUCUCGGCGGUUGGGGAUGGAUGGGCGGCUUACCGGCUAGCUGGUUGGGUAGUGGCUUACCAAGGCUGUGACGGGUAGCCGGCAUGAGAGGGUGACCGGCCACAUGGGGACUGAGAGACGGAGCAGACUCCUACGGGAGGCAGAAGUGGGGAAUAUUGUACAAUGGGCGGAAGCCGGAUGCAGCGACGCCGCGGUCGGGAUGACGGCCUUCGGGGUGUAAACCGCUUUAGCCUGAGACGAAGCGUGAGUGACGGUAAUGGGUAAAGAAGCACCGGCUAACUACGUG
RNAcentral lists this ribosomal RNA (468 nucleotides) under uncultured bacterium. RNAcentral describes it as "partial 16S ribosomal RNA". It matches the Rfam family "Bacterial small subunit ribosomal RNA", at positions 28 to 507 of the family's 1533-position model. The record is from RNAcentral.